RNAcentral lists this ribosomal RNA (486 nucleotides) under uncultured bacterium. RNAcentral's name for it is "partial 16S ribosomal RNA". It matches the Rfam family "Bacterial small subunit ribosomal RNA", at positions 30 to 507 of the family's 1533-position model. The record is from RNAcentral.
AUUGAACGCUGGCGGCAUGCCUUACACAUGCAAGUCGAACGGCAGCACGGGUGCUUGCACCUGGUGGCGAGUGGCGAACGGGUGAGUAAUACAUCGGAACAUGUCCUGUAGUGGGGGAUAGCCCGGCGAAAGCCGGAUUAAUACCGCAUACGAUCUACGGAUGAAAGCGGGGGACCUUCGGGCCUCGCGCUAUAGGGUUGGCCGAUAGCUGAUUAGCUAGUUGGGGGGGUAAAGGCCUACCAAGGCGACGAUAAGUAGCUGGUCUGAGAGGACGACCAGCCACACUGGGACUGAGACACGGCCCAGACUCCUACGGGAGGCAGCAGUGGGGAAUUUUGGACAAUGGGCGAAAGCCUGAUCCAGCAAUGCCGCGUGUGUGAAGAAGGCCUUCGGGUUGUAAAGCACUUUUGUCCGGAAAGAAAUCCUUGGCUCUAAUACAGUCGGGGGAUGACGGUACCGGAAGAAUAAGCACCGGCUAACUACGUG